GUAGGUGGCAAGCGUUGUCCGGAAUUAUUGGGCGUAAAGCGCGCGCAGGUGGUUCUUUAAGUCUGAUGUGAAAGCCCCCGGGCUCAACCGGGGAGGGUCAUUGGAAACUGGGGAACUUGAGUGCAGGAGAGGAAAGUGGAAUUCCACGUGUAGCGGUGAAAUGCGUAGAUAUGUGGAGGAACACCAGUGGCGAAGGCGACUUUCUGGCCUGUAACUGACACUGAGGCGCGAAAGCGUGGGGAGCAAACAGGAUUAGAUACCCUGGUAGUCCACGCCGUAAACGAUGAGUGCUAAGUGUUCGGGGGGGUUUCCGCCCCUCAGUGCUGCAGCUAACGCAUUAAGCACUCCGCCUGGGGAGUACGGUCGCAAAGACUG
RNAcentral lists this ribosomal RNA (375 nucleotides) under uncultured organism. Its description in RNAcentral is "partial 16S ribosomal RNA". It matches the Rfam family "Bacterial small subunit ribosomal RNA", at positions 527 to 896 of the family's 1533-position model. The record is from RNAcentral.